RNAcentral lists this long non-coding RNA (540 nucleotides) under Nicotiana tabacum (common tobacco). Its description in RNAcentral is "long non-coding RNA (NTAB_LNC017988)". Lineage: Eukaryota; Viridiplantae; Streptophyta; Magnoliopsida; Solanales; Solanaceae. The record is from RNAcentral.
GGUUUAAAACACUAAUGCUGACUGAAGGAAAGAGUUCAAUUUAGGGUUUAGAACCCUAAUGCUGACUGAAGAAAAAGUUCAGUUUAGGGUUUAAAACCCUAAUGCUGACUGAAGGGAAAACGUUCAGUUUAGGGUUUAAAACCCUAAUGCUGACUAAAGGGAAGAGUUCAGUUUAGGGUUUAAAACCCUAAUGCUGACUAAAUGGAAGAGUUCAGUUUAGGGUUUAAAACCCUAAUGCUGACUAAAUGGAAAGAGUUCAAUUUAGGGUUUAAAACCCUAAUGUUGACUGAAGAAAAAAGUUCAUUUUAGCGUUUAAAACCCUAAUGCUGACUGAAGGGAAAAAGUUCAGUUUAGGGUUCAAAACCCUAAUGCUGACUAAAGGAAAGAGUACAGUUUAGGGUUUAAAAUCCUAAUGCUGACUGAAUGGAAAAAGUUCAGUUUGGGUUUAAAACCCUAAUGCUGACUGAAUGGAAAAAGUUCAGUUUAGGGUUUAAAACCCUAAUGCUGACUGAAUGGAAAAAGUUCAGUAUAAGGUUUAAA